UACUAGUUGUUGUAUGCUACUUGAUCCUAAGGCCAAAGCCCCCUCGCGUGACGACCACGCUGGCCACCGGGCAUAAUGCCCCUCACUUGCCAAUACGUUUAGAUCAGCCAGGACGUCGGCAUGUGUAGCGUAUUAUGUUGGGUCUCUCUCGAGAUAAGGAUACGAUGUCCCUUUAUCGGUUGGUUGGUUUCCUGUGUGCGCGGCCCGUUCGUUUUUUUGUUACUUUCGCAUCGUUCGGUGCAUUCUGGGGGCUGUGUUGGCUUUUGGUGGCUUGUUUGGCCUUUUGGCUUUGCUUGUUGCUACUUGUCGGGCGGCUUUUGGGAAUGUCGACCGUGGAGGUGCAUGAGUGGUGUUUGGUUUGUUACGUGUGGAUGGCUGUUUGCUUGUGCAACAACGUUCACGCUGCAUACCUCUUCAGUUUUGCGGCAAGGCGGUUUGGCUUGUGCAUAUUGUGGGUUUCCUGUGUUGCAUACCUAGUUGAUGGAAAAGUGUGGGUUUUACGAUUUUCAUUUUCGUCUUGCGUCGUUCUUUCGGCGUGGGAUGAACAAUGAAGCGAUCUUUAUGAUCCAUCGUGCUGUUGCGUUUGCAACAAUGAUGUGGCCUAUGAAGCAUCGUUUGGUCUCUUGUAUACGGAAGCUCAUUUGGGCUUGGGUCUUUAUAAGAUCUUCGUUACGCCCUUGUUAAGCGUUCUCGCUUCUCCUAAACGAUUG
RNAcentral lists this unclassified non-coding RNA (710 nucleotides) under Centaurea podospermifolia. RNAcentral describes it as "partial external transcribed spacer". The record is from RNAcentral. Lineage: Eukaryota; Viridiplantae; Streptophyta; Magnoliopsida; Asterales; Asteraceae.